Non-coding RNA from Beta vulgaris subsp. vulgaris (sugar beet), 107 nucleotides. NCBI's taxonomy places the organism in Eukaryota, Viridiplantae, Streptophyta, Magnoliopsida, Caryophyllales, Amaranthaceae. The record is from Rfam.
AGGUUAUGGUGAGGGCAUUCUCUCUGCAAGUCUUUGAACCUAUUCCAUGCUUCCUUCAGUGUCUCAUCAAGUUCUUGUUGGAAGGUAGCAAAAUUAUGUUGAAUUCU